GACGAAGGACCCAAGCGUUAUCCGGAUUUAUUGGGGUUAAAGGGCGCGUAGGCGGGUUGUUAAGUCAGUGGUGAAAGCCUAGAGCUUAACUCUAGAAUUGCCAUUGAUACUGACGAUCUUGAGGAUAGUUGAGGUGGGCGGAAUGUAUCAUGUAGCGGUGAAAUGCUUAGAGAUGAUACAGAACACCGAUUGCGAAGGCAGCUCACUAAGCUAUUUCUGACGCUGAGGCACGAAAGCGUGGGGAUCAAACAGG
Molecule: ribosomal RNA, 253 nt
Filed under: uncultured bacterium
Lineage: Bacteria
Description: partial 16S ribosomal RNA
Rfam family: Bacterial small subunit ribosomal RNA
Source: RNAcentral